AAAGCUUAGCUAUUUCAACCAAUAAUUACUUAAAUUAUCCUAACCCCUUAACCCCUAUUGAACCAUUUUAUAUUAUUAUAAAAAUGAUUAUGUUAGAACUAGUAACAAGAACUUGCCCUUCUCCCCAUGUAAACAUAAGCCAAAGCGGACACUCCGUUGGUAAUUAACGUAAAUGCUAAACCAUAAUAACAUACACUAGAAAACCUUAUGGCCCACCCAACGUUACCCUAACACCAGAACAUUUUAGGAAAGAUUAAAAGAAGGAGAAGGAACUCGGCAAAUUUUAGCCCCGCCUGUUUACCAAAAACAUCGCCUCCUGAUUAAACAUUAGAGGUCUAGCCUGCCCAGUGAUAAUAUUAAACGGCCGCGGUAUAUUAACCGUGCGAAGGUAGCAUAAUCACUUGUUCUUUAAAUAAGGACUUGUAUCAACGGCAUCACGAGGGCUAUACUGUCUCCUCCCUCUAAUCAGUGAAACUGAUCUCCCCGUGAAGAAGCGGGGAUUUAUAUAUAAGACGAGAAGACCCCAUGGAGCUUUAAACCCGACACACACCCCCUCACUCAAAUACCUAUUUAACCCGGGGUGCCUCUGCAUCGGUUUUAGGCUGGGGGGGCCACGGAGUAAAAUCAAACCUCCAUAACAAAUAGGCUAAUUACCCUUAUCUAUGAUUUACAAAUCUAAGAAUUAUUAAAAUAAUGUUAAAUGACCCGAUAAUUCGAUCAAUGAACCAAGUUACCCUGGGGAUAACAGCGCAAUCCACUUUAAGAGCCCAUAUCGACAAGUGGGUUUACGACCUCGAUGUUGGAUCAGGGUAUCCUAGUGGUGCAACCGCUACUAAUGGUUCGUUUGUUCAACGAUUAAA
Molecule: ribosomal RNA, 860 nt
Filed under: Odorrana tormota (concave-eared torrent frog)
Lineage: Eukaryota; Metazoa; Chordata; Amphibia; Anura; Ranidae
Description: partial 16S ribosomal RNA
Rfam family: Bacterial large subunit ribosomal RNA
Source: RNAcentral